RNAcentral lists this ribosomal RNA (448 nucleotides) under uncultured bacterium. Its description in RNAcentral is "partial 16S ribosomal RNA". It matches the Rfam family "Bacterial small subunit ribosomal RNA", at positions 330 to 793 of the family's 1533-position model. The record is from RNAcentral.
UCCAGACUCCUACGGGAGGCAGCAGUGGGGAAUAUUGCACAAUGGGGGAAACCCUGGUGCAGCAACGCCGCGUGAGUGAGGAAGUAUUUCGGUAUGUAAAGCUCUAUCAGCAGGGAAUAGAAAAGAAGGUACCUGAAGAAGAAGCCCCGGCUAACUACGUGCCAGCAGCCGCGGUAAUACGUAGGGGGCAAGCGUUAUCCGGAUUUACUGGGUGUAAAGGGGGCGCAGACGGCGAUGCAAGCCAGGAGUGAAAGCCCGGGGCCCAACCCCGGGACUGCUCUUGGAACUGCGUGGCUAGAGUGCAGGAGGGGCAGGCGGAAUUCCUGGUGUAGCGGUGAGAUGCGUAGAUAUCAGGAGGAACACCGGUGGCGAAGGCGGCCUGCUGGACUGCAACUGACGUUGAGGCCCGAAAGCGUGGGUAUCGAACAGGAUUAGAUACCCCUGUAAG